RNAcentral lists this ribosomal RNA (255 nucleotides) under uncultured bacterium. RNAcentral's name for it is "partial 16S ribosomal RNA". It matches the Rfam family "Bacterial small subunit ribosomal RNA", at positions 524 to 776 of the family's 1533-position model. The record is from RNAcentral.
UACGUAGGUGGCGAGCGUUGUCCGGAAUUACUGGGUGUAAAGCGCGUGUAGGCGGGAGGCCAAGUCUGUGGUGAAAUCGCUCGGCUUAACUGGGCGGGGUCCAUGGAAACUGGUCACCUGGAGGUCGGUAGAGGCAAGUGGAAUUCCCGGUGUAGUGGUGAAAUGCGUAGAGAUCGGGAGGAACACCAGUGGCGAAGGCGGCUUGCUGGGCCGGACCUGACGCUGAGACGGCGAAAGGCGUGGGGAGCGAACGGG